This 63-nucleotide small nucleolar RNA is filed under the name Peromyscus maniculatus bairdii (prairie deer mouse). RNAcentral describes it as "Small nucleolar RNA SNORD44 (ENSPEMG00000026369.1)". It matches the Rfam family "Small nucleolar RNA SNORD44". From Rfam's summary of the family: U44 belongs to the C/D class of snoRNA which contain the C (UGAUGA) and D (CUGA) box motifs. Lineage: Eukaryota; Metazoa; Chordata; Mammalia; Rodentia; Cricetidae. The record is from Rfam by way of RNAcentral. RNAcentral also lists the same sequence under 1 other name.
CCUGCAUGAUGACAAGCCAAUGCUGACUAACAUGAAGGUCGUCUUAUUAGCUCUAUCUGAUAU